AACAGAAAAAAGAAGCCAAUUGUGUCAGUGGUGCUGCCUUUUAUGACUCUGGUGCACUAAGUUGUGAUUAUGCUUAAACACUUACUUAAACGCUGGUGCUAUUGGUAGUGGUUUCGGUUGUUAUGGUCUUAGUCGUGGUACUUUCUAGAGUUGCGGUGCCAGCUGUUGUGCUCUCAGUUGUUGUGGUGCCAGUUGUGGUGCUUUCUGGAGUUGUGGUGCCAGUUGUGGUGCUUUCAGUUGUUGUGGUCUCAGUUGUGGUGCUUUCUGGAGUUGUGGUGCCAGUUGUGGUGCUUUCUGGAGUUGUGGUGCCAGUUGUGGUGCUUUCUGGAGUUGUGGUCUCAGUUGUGGUACUUUCUGGAGUUGUGGUGCCAGUUGUGGUGCUUUCAGUUGUUGUGGUGCCAGUUGUGGUGCUUUCAGUUGUUGUGGUCUCAGUUGUGGUGCUUUCUGGAGUUGUGGUGCCAGUUGUGGUGCUUUCGGUUGUUGUUGUGCCAGUUGUGGUGCUUUCGGUUGUUGUGGUCUCAGUUGUGGUACUUUCUGGAGUUGUGGUGCCAGUUGUGGUGCUUUCGGUUGUUGUGGUGCCAGUUGUGGUGCUUUCGGUUGUUGUGGUCUCAGUUGUGGUACUUUCUGGAGUUGCUUUCGGUUGUUGUGGUGCCAGUUGUGGUGCUUUCUGGAGUUGUGGUGCCAGUUGUGGUGCUUUCGGUUGUUGUGGUGCCAGUUGUGGUGCUUUCGGUUGUUGUGGUGCCAGUUGUGGUGCUUUCUGUUGUUGUGGUGGAGUUGUGGUGCCAGUUGUGGUGCUUUCUGUUGUUGUGGUCUCAGUUGUGGUGCUUUCUGGAGUUGUGGUGCCAGUUGUGGUGCUUUCGGUUGUUGUGGUCUCAGUUGUGGUACUUUCUGGAGUUGUGGUGCCAGUUGUGGUGCUUUCGGUUGUUGUGGUCUCAGUUGUGGUACUUUCUGGAGUUGUGGUGCUUUCGGUUGUUGUGGUGCCAGUUGUGGUGCUUUCAGUUGUUGUGGUCUCAGUUGUGGUGCUUUCUGGAGUUGUGGUGCCAGUUGUGGUGCUUUCGGUUGUUGUGGUGCUUUCGGUUGUUGUGGUGCCAGUUGUGGUGCUUUCUGGAGUUGUGGUGCCAGUUGUGGUGCUUUCGGUUGUUGUGGUCUCAGUUGUGGUACUUUCUGGAGUUGUGGUGCCAGUUGUGGUGCUUUCUGUUGUUGUGGUCUCAGUUGUGGUGCUUUCUGGAGUUGUGGUGCCAGUUGUGGUGCUUUCGGUUGUUGUGGUCUCAGUCGUGGUACUUUCUAGAGUUGUGGUGCCAGUUGUGGUGCUUUCGGUUGUUGUGGUGCCAGUUGUGGUGCUUUCGGUUGUUGUGGUUUCAGUUGUUUUACUUUCUGGAGUUGUGGUGCCAGUUGUGGUGCUUUCGGUUGUUGUGGUCUCAGUUGUGGUACUUUCUGGAGUUUUGGUGCCAGUUGUGAUGCUUUCGGUUGUUGUGGUCUCAGUUGUGGUGCUUUCUGUUGUUGUAGUUUCAGUUGUGGUGCUUUCUGGAGUUGUGGUGCCAGUUGUGGUGCUUUCGGUUGUUGUGGUGCCUGUUGUGGUGCUUUCUGGAGUUGUGGUGCCAGUUGUGGUGCUUUCUGUUGUUGUGGUCUCAGUUGUGGUGCUUUCUGGAGUUGUGGUGUCAGUUGUGGUGCUUUCGGUUGUUGUGGUGUCAGUUGUGGUACUUGCUGGAGUUGUGGUGCCAGUUGUGGUGCUUUCGGUUGUUGUGGUGCCAGUUGUAGUGCUUUCGGUUGUUGUGGUGCCAGUUGUGGUGCUUUCUGGAGUUGUGGUGUCAGUUGUGGUGCUUUCGGUUGUUGUGGUCUCAGUUGUGGUACUUUCUGGAGUUGUGGUGCCAGUUGUGGUGCUUUCUGUUGUUGUGGUUUCAGUUGUGGUGCUUUCUGGAGUUGUGGUGCCAGUUGUGGUGCUUUCGGUUGUUGUGGUCUCAGUUGUGGUGCUUUCUGGAGUUGUGGUGCCAGUUGUGGUGCUUUCGGUUGUUGUGGUCUCAUUUGUGGUGCUUUCUGGAGUUGUGGUGCCAGUUGUGGUGCUUUCGGUUGUUGUGGUGCCAGUUGUGGUGGUUUCGGUUGUUGUGGUGCCAGUUGUGGUGCUUUCGGUUGUUGUGGUCUCUGUUGUGGUACUUUCUGGAGUUGUGGUGCCAGUUGUGGUGCUUUCGGUUGUUGUGGUCUCAGUUGUGGUACUUUCUGGAGUUGUAGUGCCAGUUGUGGUGCUUUCGGUUGUUGUGGUGCUUUCGGUUGUUGUGGUCUCAGUUGUGGUACUUCCUGGAGUUGUGGUGCCAGUUGUGGUGCUUUCGGUUGUUGUGGUGCUUUCUGGAGUUGUGGUGCCAGUUGUGGUGCUUUCGGUUGUUGUGGUCUCAGUUGUGGUGCUUUCUGGAGUUGUGGUGCCAGUUGUGGUGCUUUCGGUUGUUGUGGUCUCAGUUGUGGUACUUUCUGGAGUUGUGGUGCCAGUUGUGGUGCUUUCUGUCACUUGGCUUUCUAUUGGUGUUGUUUCUGAAGUGGCGUAUUCUGUUUGUGAAAAAGAGAGAGACUCAAUAUUUUUGUAACAUUUCUUGUUUUUAUCUUAUAUAGCACAGAUCUAUUUGUUGGAAUAGCCAAGUACACAUAAUUCAAAUCAAAAUAUGAAUAAAUAUGACUUUUCAUGAUUAUAUUUUAUGAAUUUACAACCGUAUAUAUCAAUACUUAAUUUUUGAUUUAGGCGAGGCAGUGGCGCAGUAGGUAGUGCUGUCGCCUCACAGCAAGAAGGUCGCUGGUUCGAGCCUUGGCUCAGUUGGUGUUUCUGUGUGGAGUUUGCAUGUUCUCCCUGCCUUCGCGUGGGUUUCCUCCGGGUGCUCCGGUUUCCCCCACAGUCCAAAGACAUGCGGUACAGGUGAAUUGGGUAGGCUAAAUUGUCCAUAGUGUAUGAGUGUGUGUGUGAAUGUGUGUGUGGAUGUUUCCCAGAGAUGGGUUGUGGCUGAAAGGGGAUCCGCUGCGUAAAAACUUGCUGGAUAAGUUAGUGGUUCAUUCUACUGUGGCGACCCCAGAUUAAUAAAGGGACUAAGCCGACAAAUAAAUGAAUGAAUCAUUUUUAAUUUGUAAUAUGCAUUGCUAAGAACUUUAAAUGUGGUUUGUAUGUGAUGUAAUUUUUAUUUUUUAUUUUUCAAAAGCUUUGCAUUGUUUUAUAAAACUCGGUUUCCAAAAAAACUAGCCCUUAUGGUUGGUUUUGUGGUAACAUUAGUAUUUACAGUCCUGUUUAAGAGUACAACAAACACCUUUAUCCUCCACCAGGUGGCAGUAAGAGUGUGCACAACAUAACUUUGAAUGGUAUAAUGUACAAGCCCUGCAUGCCAAAAUCAAUACCUUUAACAUUUCACACUUGCUUUAUGCAGCCUUAAUUAUUUAAGAAGAAAUAAAUCACACAGAAAGCAUCUUCCAACAUAAUACAUUACCAGUUAUUAUGUCCAUGGUUGUUGUUUCUGUGGUAAACAUAGUGUUUGGAUUGGCAGUAGUAUAUGUAGUGUUUAUGUUCCUUACAUCUGGGAGAAAAAAAAAAUCAUGGCUACAUUUUAUAUACUGGAAUGAUUAUGAUUAACAUAAAGGAAAGGGAAAUGUAAGUAUAUUUAUUUACCUGCACAAUAUGCCAAAGAGCAGAACUCUGGUUUCACAAACUCAUAGACAUAAAAACCUCCAGGACAGGCUUUGACUUGAAUGGGAUUGGACUGGAAAUAGCAGCAGUUGUUGCUCCAUUGACCGCAGACAUCUCGAGAGACCACUCCAUCCUCAAGUGUUGGAUGUCCUCCGCUCAGCCACAGUGGAGCAUGAGUGCCGCAACUGUGCUCAUCAACACAUGUGUCUGGCAUCUGAACACUCUGACCAUUAAUGAAGAGACGGUACCAGCCGUCCCAGUUAACCUCACAGUCGCACAUUAUUUCAAAGGAAUAUUGAUUACUGGUGGCUCUCCACGGGUUAUCCAGGGCAUGGUAACUGGUGCAGGGAUCAACAGGAGGAACCACUGUUAAGGAGAAAUUAAAUGAAUAUAUCACUGUUGAAUUAGUUUAAUGCAAAAUACUUAAAUGCAUUUAAAACUAUUACUGUUUGGUUGGAAAAAUUGCAGUUUGCAAAAUGUGCAUCUGGUGUUUGGUCUUACACUAGUCAAAAUGCAUUGCAAGUAUUCAUUGCUUCAUGCAUAUACGUUCACACCAUUUACAGUACAUCCGUAUUUCGAAGAUUCAGUUUAACCACUAGUUAAAGUGUGAGUAUUUAUCAGCUUUGUGCGUUUCAAAACUGCCAACUUGUCUGCAUUUGUCUUUCCAGAACUCCUUAAAAUCAGCACAAUUUAAUUAUUUAAAUUUAAUUAUUGUUAAUUGUUAUUAGUUUAAUAAUUUAAGAUGGCAUGCUAACUGACUUUUGCAAGUUGCAAGUAAUUUGGACUGGUAUCUGAAAUAUUACCUGAUUAUUUAAGGCCAUUGUUAUUGUCAUUUUUUAGCCAAUUGUUUGUAAGUAUUGUUGACGUUAAAAUGAUCCUUGUUUUGGCUUUAAUUAAAGUCUAACUGUUGCAUAUAAGAUUCUUUUCUGACAUUAUUUGCAGAUCUACUUUUAUCCAUGCAUUAUCCAUGCAUUUACAUUAUUUUUAGCCAUCAUAUUUACUUUUGUUUCUAAAAUGAAUGCAACUAGCAAUCAAAAAUGAUGCACAUCUGCACAUUAAACAUGCAUACAGGUUUCUUUUUUUUUUUUUUUUUUGCGUGCAAAAUGGUAAAUAUGUAUUUGAUUUAACAUGUUUUAUUAAAUAGAUUAACACUUUAAAUUACCUGUGCUUAGAAUUUAUUUAAGCUACAAUUCUUGCUAUUAAUAAACCAUUAACCUUCUGGGGUCUGAGGUGAUUUUAGGACCCUUAAGAUUUUUUGACAUGCCCUGACAUGUGUUAUUUUAGCUACUUAUUAGAUAGUCCUGGCCAACUUGUAUUUUGUUUUCAUUAAAUUUAAUAUAAUAUCAACUUGUUUUCACCACAAACUGUGCUACAAUAAUAUGUGAGAAAUAUGGAUGUACACGCUUGCAUUUUUUAGGGGGGAGAAAAGUAUGCGUGGUUAUUAAUCUUUAAAUGUGAUGAGCUCAGACUGAA
RNAcentral lists this long non-coding RNA (5125 nucleotides) under Danio rerio (zebrafish). Its description in RNAcentral is "lncRNA (ENSDARG00000117403.1)". Lineage: Eukaryota; Metazoa; Chordata; Actinopteri; Cypriniformes; Danionidae. The record is from RNAcentral.